GAUGAACGCGGCGGGGGGGCUAACAAAAGGAAGUCGAACGGAGAAGGCCAGGUUGGCGGGUGGGAUUGGUGGGAAACGGGGGGUUAACCGGGGAGAAACUUGCCCUUAACCCGGGAAUAAGCCGGGGAAACGGGGUUAAUAACGGGUAGGAGCGGUCACCGGCAGGGGGGGGGUGGGAAGAUUUAUCGGUUUUGGAUGGACUCGCGGCCUAUCAGCUUGUUGGUGAGGUAAUGGCUCACCAAGGCGACGACGGGUAGCCGGCCUGAGAGGGUGACCGGCCACACUGGGACUGAGACACGGCCCAGACUCCUACGGGAGGCAGCAGUGGGGAAUAUUGCACAAUGGGCGCAAGCCUGAUGCAGCGACGCCGCGUGAGGGAUGACGGCCUUCGGGUUGUAAACCUCUUUCAGUAGGGAAGAAGCGAAAGUGACGGUACCUGCAGAAGAAGCACCGGCUAACUACGUG
This 465-nucleotide ribosomal RNA is filed under the name uncultured bacterium. RNAcentral describes it as "partial 16S ribosomal RNA". It matches the Rfam family "Bacterial small subunit ribosomal RNA", at positions 28 to 507 of the family's 1533-position model. The record is from RNAcentral.